This 526-nucleotide ribosomal RNA is filed under the name uncultured bacterium. RNAcentral describes it as "bacterial SSU rRNA". It matches the Rfam family "Bacterial small subunit ribosomal RNA", at positions 338 to 870 of the family's 1533-position model. The record is from RNAcentral.
CCUACGGGAGGCAGCAGCGAGGAAGAUUGGUCAAUGGGGGCAAGUGUGAACCAGGCAUGCCGCGUGCAGGAUGACGGCCCUAUGGGUUGUAAACUGCUUUUSCACGGGAAGAACCCUCCGACGUGUCGGAGACUGACGGUCCCGUGGGAAUAAGCAUCGGCUAACUCCGUGCCAGCAGCCGCGGUAAUACGGAGGAUGCAAGCGUUAUCCGGAUUUAUUGGGUAAAAGGGUGCGUAGGUGGGCUUAUAAGUCAGCGGUGAAAUCCCCCGGCUCAACCAGGGAAUUGCCGUUGAUACUGUUAGCCUUGAGUACAGUUGAAGUGGGCGGAAUGUAGCAUGUAGCGGUGAAAUGCAUAGAUAUGGAACAGCACACCAAUAGCGAAGGCAGCUCAGUAAGUUGUAASUGACAGUAAUGCAAGAAAGCGGGGGGAUCACACAGGAUUAGAUACCCUGGUAGCCCCCGCUGUAAACGAUGAUCAMUCGUUGKKGGMGAUAUACAGUCAGCGAGGAACGAAAGUAUAACGUCC